UCGAUUUGGAGUUUGUUGCCCUGAGUGAUGGGCUCCGAAGCUAACGCGAUAAAUCGACCGCCUGGGGAGUACGGCCGCAAGGUUAAAACUCAAAUGAAUUGACGGGGGCCCGCACAAGCGGUGGAGCAUGUGGUUUAAUUCGAUGCAACGCGAAGAACCUUACCUGGUCUUGACAUCCACAGAAUCUUGCAGAGAUGUAAGAGUGCCUUCGGGAACUGUGAGACAGGUGCUGCAUGGCUGUCGUCAGCUCGUGUUGUGAAAUGUUGGGUUAAGUCCCGCAACGAGCGCAACCCUUAUCCUUUGUUGCCAUCGGUUCGGCCGGGAACUCAAAGGAGACUGCCGUUGAUAAAGCGGAGGAAGGUGGGGACGACGUCAAGUCAUCAUGGCCCUUACGACCAGGGCUACACACGUGCUACAAUGGCGUAUACAAAGGGAGGCGACCUCGCGAGAGCAAGCGGACCCCAUAAAGUACGUCUAAGUCCGGAUUGGAGUCUGCAACUCGACUCCAUGAAGUCGGAAUCGCUAGUAAUCGUGAAUCAGAAUGUCACGGUGAAUACGUUCCCGGGCCU
This 569-nucleotide ribosomal RNA is filed under the name uncultured Gammaproteobacteria bacterium. Its description in RNAcentral is "bacterial SSU rRNA". It matches the Rfam family "Bacterial small subunit ribosomal RNA", at positions 812 to 1381 of the family's 1533-position model. The record is from RNAcentral. Lineage: Bacteria; Pseudomonadati; Pseudomonadota; Gammaproteobacteria.